This 253-nucleotide ribosomal RNA is filed under the name uncultured bacterium. Its description in RNAcentral is "partial 16S ribosomal RNA". It matches the Rfam family "Bacterial small subunit ribosomal RNA", at positions 524 to 776 of the family's 1533-position model. The record is from RNAcentral.
UACAGAGGGUGCGAACGUUGUUCGGAAUUACUGGGCUUGAAGCGCGCGUAGGCGGCCCCGCAAGUGCGGUGUGAAAUCCCACGGCUUACCCGUGGAACCGCGCCGUGUACUACGGGGCUAGAGGAUGGUAGAGGAGGGCGGAACUCUUGGUGGAGCGGUGAAAUGCGUAGAGAUCAAGAGGAACACCGGUGGCGAAGGCGGCCCUCUGGUCCAUUACUGACGCUGAGGCGCGAAAGCUAGGGGAGCAAACGGG